GACGAACGCUGGCGGCGUGCUUAACACAUGCAAGUCGAACGGAAAGGCCCUGCUUUUGUGGGGUGCUCGAGUGGCGAACGGGUGAGUAACACGUGAGUAACCUGCCCUUGACUUUGGGAUAACUUCAGGAAAAUGGGGCUAAUACCGGAUAGGAGCUCCUGCUGCAUGGUGGGGGUUGGAAAGUUUCGGCGGUUGGGGAUGGACUCGCGGCUUAUCAGCUUGUUGGUGGGGUAGUGGUUUACCAAGGGUUUGACGGGUAGCCGGCCUGAGAGGGUGACCGGCCACAUUGGGACUGAGAUACGGCCCAGACUGCUACGGGAGGCAGCAGUGGGGAAUAUUACACAAUGGGCGGAAGCCUGAUGCAGCGACGCCGCGUGCGGGAUGACGGCCUUCGGGUUGUAAACCGCUUUCGCCUGUGACGAAGCGUGAGUGACGGUAAUGAGUAAAGAAGCACCGGCUAACUACGUG
Molecule: ribosomal RNA, 468 nt
Filed under: uncultured bacterium
Lineage: Bacteria
Description: partial 16S ribosomal RNA
Rfam family: Bacterial small subunit ribosomal RNA
Source: RNAcentral